GGGGUGGGUCAUUGCCGCUCCAGCACCGACAGGAACUUGCGGAUGUCCUGGGCGAGCAGCUCCGGCUCCUCAAAGGCCGCAAAGUGGCCCCCACGAACCAUGUAGGAAUAGGAGAUGAGCUUUGGGUACUUGAACCUCACCCACUUUUCAGGCGUGUGCAAUAGCUCAAAAGGGAAGGCAGAGAAGCCAGUGGGCACAUAGACCUUCAUCCUGGAAGUGAAAGAGCCGACGGAGGGGUGAGGCUGUGGCCCUGCGCCCCUCCGUCCUGCACAGCAGGGGGUUAAAGCGCCUGGGGGUGAGAUCAGCUGGCCCACCCACAAGGAGCCAUAAAGAAAAGGACAAAUCCAGGGUCUCAACCGCUCUCCCCUCACUGAGGGCCUUCUCUUUUCUGGGAGGGCCACCCAGGCAGGGGCAUGGGACAGCCUCUAAAUCCCCACCUUUGAGGGUUUCCAUGUGAGACUUGGAAAUCCCAGAACCAUCAGUGCCACUCCAGACCAGCAUCCUAGACUGGGGAGCGGUACUGAGGGCCGCCCGGGAGCCAGGCACCUGGUCCCUCCAUGAGGGCUUUCUCCAAACACCUCGACCUUUAGUGUUCCCAUCCAAGGGCCCCUGGGGCACCUGCAGGCAAGGCUAUACUUAUCCCACCACCAAGUGCCCUUCGUGGAGCCCAAGACUGGCCGUCCCCCUGCCUCCAGCCUCAGAGGCCCCUGUUCUCGGCUCAGCCAGGCUCACCGCUCAUGCUUCUGGGUCAUCCAGCCCUGUCCCAGGUUCUCCUUGUAGAAGCGCUGGGAGGAGAUGAUGGUGCCUGUUGUCCAGUAGAGCAUGACGUUGGUCAGCAGGUCGUCCAGGGAGAACUUCCUGGGAACGCAGAACACAAAGCCCCACUCUCAGUGCCACAUGCAGUUGUGUGACAAAGGGCAGCCAGAAAGUCCUACAAAUGCCAGGCCCUGCCCAUGCGGCUUCCCUCCUCAGACCUCAUGCAACGUGUGUGGUAUCCUCGUGUCACAGGCAGGCUGCGCCCAGGGCACUAGACUGGAGCGCAUGGAUUUAGUUGAAGUGUCUCUUAUCACCCCAAGGUCCUCCCCCCACCCACCUUGCCUCUACACACCUGUCCCCUCUCUCCUGCCACUGACCUCUCCUCCCUCCCCUCAACCCCUGCACCGUGAAACUGCUCAGGGCACCAGCUACUGUGGUGACCACAUACCAGGCAGCAUGUUCUAAGCUCCUUACCUUCUUUUAAUUCAUGUUUUCCUCUCAACAGCCUAUGGGACAUAGGUACUAUUAUCUCCAUUUUACUUAUUAAGUGGAGAAUCCAAACCUAGCCAGCUUGGGUCCAGGAUGCAUACUCCACAGCCCCCACCCCACCUUCCACUUUCCCCAGAGCACGCCCUCCCAACCCUACCUUCCUCACUCAAACCCUGAAUCUCUAGCAACAGCAGCAGGGAGCAGGGACAGAGAUAAAGGGAACAGCCUUUUCAAUGUGAUUUUGGUGGCAAAAUGAAAACUGGUCAAUGAAAACUAGUUCCAGUAUACACAUCACCUCUGUGAACUGGAUUUCUGCAAGUUGGCCAAGUGCUUCCAUCUCCCUUUCAGCUCUGCCCGCAGCUUGAAAACGACCACGACCACCAUUUCCACCCUAGUGUAUUCCUGUUCUUUCUAGAACACAGAUCUGAUCCUGUCUACCUCCUGCUCAGGGAUUUGGUGCUCCCUGUAACCCGGGGCCAGAGCUGCAGGAGUGGCCUAGUGGGAUAGUCUGGUGGGGCCUCACAUCUUGCUCCAGGUAUCCGUGUGCAAGGAGCAGGCCAGACCCCCUGCCAAGGUGGUCUUGCAGAAGCUCCAUCAACCCCUGUGUCCUGCUGAAUGUAGGGCAGGGGAAACAGAUCCCAGACGAAGGCCCUGCUGAGGCUCUUGGAGGAGGUGAGGACCUGCCUGCAGGAAUGAGUUUGCUUUUGAUCUGGCCCCAGUGUACCUGCUUCAGCCUCUGGACAAGCCACCCUUUCCAAGCACCCUUUCCUUGCAUUUUUAUUGCUUUUCUCUUUGCCUAAGUUUCUCUCCUCCAUCCAGCAAACUCCUACUUAUCCUCCAAGGCCCAAAUCAGAUACAUUCUCCUGGUCAUUUCCCCUCUCUGCCGCUUAGACAAAGAAUCCUCCUUCCACUGGACUCUCACAGUCCUUUGCGCAUUCAUUCAACAUCUAUGUACUGGGCUCUCCCACUGUUCACCCGGCAUUGUUCUAGGUGAUGGGGCUACAGCAUGGCCAAGACAGAGUCCCUACCCCCAAGGCAGGAUUCAGUCUCAUUUUACUGUCUUUCCCAUCCCCAGCACUGUCUGGUCCUGUGUGUCACUGAAGGAAUAAAGGGAUGGGCCCUGGAAAGGGUGGGUCAGAGCUGACCUUGGUGAAGCCUGAGUCAGGCCACAGAGCUGGGAGUCAGGCAUGUAGAGGAUACAGCCUCUAAGGCUCUGAGAGAUUAACAGCCUCCUGUCUUUCUGCGACCACCCUCCUGGAACACGCAGUCACGUGACCCUGAUGCCAGGCUCUCCAGGGAAUCAGGAGGAAAAGCCCAGGUGCUCUUGACAAUAAUGUGGUGCCUGCUGCCCUGUGGGCUCCCUAAUCCCCAGAGGGGCCUGUUCAGCAAAAGGAGCACAAGCAGGUGAGCCUGCAUCCUAGUCUUGACCAUGCACUGUGAGGCUGGGAACAACCCACCAGGCCACCUCACCCAAAAAAUGCAGCUACGUUGGUCACAGGGUGAGGAUUUGUAAGAAAGCCAACAAUAGAAUUUGCUGAGUGCCCCAUGCAGAGCAACCAGACAAGGGGAUGAAGAGGGUGAGGAGGUUGGCUGCUGGGACCAGGGUCAUGACUGCAGGGGCAAACCAGGGCCUCACCUUUCCAGGCCUCCAUCCUCCAGGUAUCGGAAUUCCGUAUUGGUCCAGGUGGAAAACUUCUCUAGAAUAUAGGCAGCCAGACCCACAGGAGAGUCAUUCAGAGCAGAGCCUGGCGGGGAGCGGGGAGCAAGGGAGAGACUCAGGCCUGGGGACCAGAGAGCUGGAGCUUCAGGUGUGAUGUGUGGCACUGGCCGCAGAGGGCGGGGCUGUGUGCAGGAAGCCACGUUCGAGCACAGGCCUGCCUUAACUCCUGGGUGCUCACAUGCCUCGCUUCCUUAACUCUGCCUCGGCAUCCUCAUCUGAUAAACAGGGACGAUACCUUCCCACUGUCUCCCAGGGCCUGGCACACUGCCUGCUCAGCUUCCUUCAAACUGAAGGGCCUACGCCUCUGCAUUUGGUGGGGUCCCAAUGAGAAGUGCUGUUUUUAAAAAGGCGGGGUUUUUCAGUCUAUGUGCUCUGAUUCAUGAAAAAUGAGAAGCCACCUAAAAAAGUCUAAAAUAGGGGAUCAGUUACAAAUAUUGAUAUACUCAUAAGCCAAAAUACUGUACAGUCAUUAAAAAUGGCUGGAACAGGCUGGGGGCAUUGGCUCAUGCCUGUAAUCCCAGCACUUUGGGAGGGUGAGAAAGGUGGAUCACCUGCGGUAAGGAGUUCGAGACUAUCCUGGCUGACAUGGUGAAACCCCAUCUCUAUUAAAAAUACAAAAAAAUUAGCAGGGCAUGGUGGUGCAUGCCUGUAAUCCCAGCUACUUGGGAGGCUGAGGCAGGCAAAUUGCUUGAACCCGGGAGGUGGAGGUUGCAGUGAGCCGAGAUCGUACCACUGCACUCUAGCCUGGGCAACAGAGCAAGACUCUGUCUCAAAAAAAAAAAAAAAAAAA
RNAcentral lists this long non-coding RNA (3755 nucleotides) under Homo sapiens (human). RNAcentral describes it as "lncAB58.1". Lineage: Eukaryota; Metazoa; Chordata; Mammalia; Primates; Hominidae. The record is from RNAcentral.